CCUACGGGAGGCAGCAGUGAGGAAUAUUGGUCAAUGGACGAGAGUCUGAACCAGCCAAGUAGCGUGAAGGAUGACUGCCCUAUGGGUUGUAAACUUCUUUUAUAUGGGAAUAAAAUGUUCCACGUGUGGGAUUUUGUAUGUACCAUAUGAAUAAGGAUCGGCUAACUCCGUGACAGCAGCCGCGGUUAUACGGAGGAUCCGAGCGUUAUCCGGAUUUAUUGGGUUUAAAGGGAGCGUAGGUUGGUUGUUAAGUCAGUUGUGAAAGUUUGCGGCUCAACCGUACAAUUGCAGUUGCAACUGGCAGUCGUGAGUACAGUAGAGGUGGGCGGAAUUCGUGGUGUAGCGGUGAAAUGCUUAGAUAUCACGAAGAACUCCGAUUGCGAAGGCAGUUCACUGGACUGCAACUGACACUGAGGCUCGAAAGUGUGGGUAUCAAACAGGAUUAGAUACCCCAGUAGUC
RNAcentral lists this ribosomal RNA (460 nucleotides) under uncultured bacterium. RNAcentral's name for it is "partial 16S ribosomal RNA". It matches the Rfam family "Bacterial small subunit ribosomal RNA", at positions 338 to 795 of the family's 1533-position model. The record is from RNAcentral.